UACGUAGGGUGCAAGCGUUGUCCGGAAUUAUUGGGCGUAAAGAGCUCGUAGGCGGUCUGUUGCGUCGGCUGUGAAAACCCGGGGCUCAACUCCGGGCCUGCAGCCGAUACGGGCAGACUAGAGUUCGGCAGGGGAGACUGGAAUUCCUGGUGUAGCGGUGAAAUGCGCAGAUAUCAGGAGGAACACCGGCGGCGAAGGCGGGUCUCUGGGCCGAUACUGACGCUGAGGAGCGAAAGCGUGGGGAGCGAACAGG
Molecule: ribosomal RNA, 253 nt
Filed under: uncultured bacterium
Lineage: Bacteria
Description: partial 16S ribosomal RNA
Rfam family: Bacterial small subunit ribosomal RNA
Source: RNAcentral